RNAcentral lists this ribosomal RNA (253 nucleotides) under uncultured archaeon. RNAcentral describes it as "partial 16S ribosomal RNA". It matches the Rfam family "Archaeal small subunit ribosomal RNA", at positions 474 to 726 of the family's 1478-position model. The record is from RNAcentral.
UCCCGACGGUCCAAGUCGUAUCCACAAUUAUUGGGUCUAAAACAUUCGUAGCUUGUAUUAUAAGUCUCUUGUGAAAUUCUACAUCUUAAGUGUAGAGCGUGCAAGAGAUACUAUUUUGCUUGAGACCGGAAGACGCAAAGAGUACGAUUGAGGUAAUGGUAAAAUAUGUUAAUCUCGAUCGGACUAACAACAGCGAAGGCACUUUGCGAGUACGGUUCUGACAGUGAGGAAUGAAGGCUAGGGGCGCAAAAGG